This is a non-coding RNA of Dipodomys ordii (Ord's kangaroo rat), 72 nucleotides long. The record is from Rfam. Lineage: Eukaryota; Metazoa; Chordata; Mammalia; Rodentia; Heteromyidae.
GGGAAGCUGGCUUAGUGGUAGAGUGCUUGCCUUGCAUGCAUGAGGCCCUGGGUUCGAUUCCUCAGCACCACA